GACAUGUGGGUGAGGCAGAGAAGAGUGCAACAGAGCCUCCACCAUCUGAAUGCUCUUCAAGAGGAGGAAAAAAAAAAUUGGAGCACCGAGCAAAAUAUACUUCGCAGGCAGAAGGAACAGGAAAAGAGGGAGCUAGAGGAAAAUUUAAGCAGAUAAUUUUGUAAACUACUAUCCUCUCCAAUAGGACCAUCAAGUGGGCACAGCUAGGAAGUAAAGGAAGAGGUGACCAAGAGGAGAAGUAAAGAACCUUGUCUUUGAUAUGGAACUAAUAAUGCACAUACCUGGUCUAAGCUAUUGUUGUUCCCAGGCAAAAGAAAAGAAUAACUUCUAGCCGUAUCAGCCAGCCAAUGUUACUUUUUUUUUAAAUGAAAAUUGAAUAUGAUAAGGAAAGACAACAAUGCCUGAAGAGGAAUACUGAAGAUGAACAAAUCAUUGUGUCACUGGAGGAAAUGACAU
This is a long non-coding RNA of Harpia harpyja (harpy eagle), 456 nucleotides long. RefSeq lists it as uncharacterized. The record is from RefSeq and is a predicted model, not a curated record. Lineage: Eukaryota; Metazoa; Chordata; Aves; Accipitriformes; Accipitridae. The transcript has 3 exons.